This 600-nucleotide ribosomal RNA is filed under the name Litoscalpellum discoveryi. RNAcentral's name for it is "partial 28S ribosomal RNA". It matches the Rfam family "Eukaryotic large subunit ribosomal RNA", at positions 305 to 733 of the family's 3401-position model. Lineage: Eukaryota; Metazoa; Arthropoda; Thecostraca; Scalpellidae. The record is from RNAcentral.
UCCAUCUAAAGCUAAAUAUAACCACGAGCCCGAUAGUCAACAAGUACAGUGAUGGAAAGUUGAAAAGUACUCUGAAGAGAGAGUCAAAUAGCCCGUGAAGCUGCCAGUAUGGGAUUAAGCGCACGUAUGACGCGUGUCGUCGGCCAAAUAGGCGACUGUUGGGUGUGCACACUGCGUGUGACUGUUGGCGGGCGUCUACGCUCGUCGGCUGACGCGUGGUGUUUGGCGUGCCUCGGCAGAACGCUUCCCUUUGGUCGACAUGGACAGGUCGAGGCUUCGUUGUCCAUGGUCUUAUUGCCGGCCGGUAAUUCGCAGAGCCGUGUCGAGCUGUGGUAAUCAGCGGCCUCACGGUCGUGCCGCGGUGCUCCGUCGACUAUGCGCUCUACUGUAGCGACGACGGUCGGCUUGGUCUACGAUGCAAUAUGCCGGCCGAUGGCGAACGACCGGGCGACGGCCAGCGCAAAUUCGAAGCGUCUAACGUUUCGGCUCGGCCUUUGCGUCGUUAUGUGCGGCCCGUCUUGAAACACGGACCAAGGAGUCUAACAUGUGAGCGAGCGAUUGAGAUUGUCUAAUCUCAAACGCGCAAUGAAAGUAAAGUGU